UGCUUCGGGUUAUCAAUAUUGAAUGAGUCCCAUGAGUGGACUACGUCAUCAGCUAAAGAUGCUGGGUACAGCGCUGCUGGGCAAACGUGCCACCAAGUCUGUCAAGAAGAAACCAUUCACAGAAGUCGAAA
RNAcentral lists this small RNA (131 nucleotides) under Drosophila willistoni. Its description in RNAcentral is "GK27680". Lineage: Eukaryota; Metazoa; Arthropoda; Insecta; Diptera; Drosophilidae. The record is from RNAcentral.